CCGGUUAGCAACUUCGUGCAGAGCCCCACGUGCAGCUAAGGGUGUGAUCGAUUAGGGAUGCAUGCACGCCUUUCAUAUAAUGUAGUAUCCAAUAUGAAUGUGUUUGUGUGAGUCCAUUGCUUUAUGUAGAGUGAAUAAACUGAUUAUGUAAUAAGUCAUGGUUCCAAGACGUAAUAUUAUUGCGAUGAUCAUAAUUUUCUUGCACAAUUAUUUAUUGCGAGAUGUUGCAACGGUUCAUCCUAAUCAUAGGAACAAGAUAUUCCACAUGAUAUACUCUGUCGUAGUCUUGCAAGUAAUUAGAAAUAACCUUUAUCUACAUAGCAUGAGAUCUAAGGGUGUGUGAUGGGUUGUAAAAUAUCAUAGGGCUUACUGGAAAAUAGAACAACAAAUCAACUCAAUCCUAAUGUGGUAUGCUAGGAUAUGGUUCAUAUAUGCAGAAGCUAUUUACCUUCUUUCUGUCAGAAAGCAUGACUUGUUUUAUCUCUAUUAUAUUAGUCAUGCUUUGUCUAGUAUUUAUGUUAAUAAAAUCAUUUGGUAAAUUGCUCAUAUUUCCAACAGUAAUUCCCAUUCAGCAACAUGGACGAUAAUAAUAUUUUCUUGUGAUCCAUACAAAAAGUUCAAAAUUAGCCAAAAUACUGAACGGGGAUGUCCCGGUAGCUACACCUACUUUUUAUGGUCAGAAUCGGUGGAAUCGGAUGCGCUGCCUAAGAUUUGGUAGUAGACAUCCCGGACGGCAGGGUGGUGGCGGGGCUGAGAACGGCAGAUUGAGUCGCGGCGGCGGCAUGCGCUGCGACAGUCGGUCAGAGUAGGUGUGGCGACCAUCGGUGGUGGGGUAGUCUCAUCGCGAGUGGUUGGGUUCCUGCUGCAUUGUUUUUGGUUUCAGCGCAGCUGCUAGAUAUGUGUAAGAAAAUUUUGGGUAACUUUCUUUUGCAACAUAUGGGUAUAUAGGGCAUCUUUUGGACACUUUUUGUUUGCCCAAAGUGACCUAACUGACAACCUUUUUGACACAACGGCUAUUUUAAAGAAAGCAUAUUAAGCUGAGUGUGCAAACCACCUAGCAAAGGCUGAUUUCACCUCGGCAGGUUUGACACUCAGCGUAACGCACUCAGCGUACAUCAUGUCGGUCGGCAUACCGACGUAAGCCGAGUGCCUUUCGUCCACUAGUAGAGAAAUGACAGAACAAAACAUCGUAGGGUGUGCGAUGGGUUGUCCGAUUGUGAGUUAUGCCUGGUGCUAUGUUUGCUUGUAAAAAAUGAGUAAUUGUAUAAUGUAGCACUUAUUUUAGACCUAGUCUAGCCCAUUCAUCGCACACGGUUUUGAAAGAGUGUGCGUUGGCACCCCAAUCGCCAACCCAUCCGAGUACACGAUUGUUAAUUAUAACCGUAUGUGAUGGACCCUUCCUAUUGCACAUAGUUUGUAUGUUCUAACUAUGUGUGAUGGACUCAAUAUCGCAUUCAAUUUUUAUGCUCUAACCGCAGCCUAGGCUCGAGAUUAACCCAACACGAUGGUUGAUGAACUAUGAGCAGGCCCUUCUACUAUGUUAGUGAUCACUAGUUUAAAUAGGCAUUAUACUUCUCUCUUAUCUCCUGGCUGGGAUUUGGAUGAUGGUAUCAGGCGGUGUAAUCGUGUAGCUAUGAUGGUGGACGGGCGGCUAGUUAACAAACCAAUUUCCGCAAUUUCAAAUUCUAAUCCCUAGCAAUUCUUGUUGAUCGAGUGAGUUUCUCACAGUUGGUAUAAGAUUCAGUGGUCCUAGAGUUGCCGCGACACCAUCACUGGACGCGGUGGCAUGAUCGGCGAUGAGCGGAGGCGAUGGACAAGUCGUCUGAGGAAGGGUGCAGCAUGUACGCGCUUCAACGAGCGUAUUGCACCGUAGGUCUGGACCGGCUCUUCAAGGAUCACGAUGAGAACCUCCUUCAAGCGGUCGACAAUCUCAUCCAAUCCAACACUGCCACGCUCGAUGGCUUGCUUUCGGCUCAUGACCCAACAAUUAUAAUAGUAUGGAACAAUAAAAAAUUAUAAAUACGUUGGAGACGUAUCAUAACCCAACAAGAUCUAAAUUAAAUAUAUUGCUUGGAGUUGUUUUUUAGUUUAGUUGCAUUGCACAAUUUUUUUUAAGAGAAGCGGAAGGUGGAGAGGUAGGCACCUGGUCCUCCGCACUCUUCAUUUUGGAUAUGGUACUGAGCCUCUCUGACGGUCUGGGAGUUCAUGCUAUAACAUUGUGGAAAUUUAGAUCGAGAUGUUAGGUAUGAGUCUGUGCUGGCCUAAGUAGGCAUCCUGAAAGAGAUGAUCUCCACAAUGAGGAGAUAAUCAUUCUAUGCACCGCAUACCGAUGUAAAACUCAAGUAUAUCUAAAUGAAAUAUUUCUUUCUUGCGGGUGUUUUAUGUUUUAGUUGCACUGCACAACAUUAUUUGAAGAGAAGAGAACCCUCAUUGGUACCCAAGCCAACAUAAAGGAUCAAACUGUUGGGGAUGUUGAUGUUUCCCCUUGAUUCAUUUUUAGGUUUUUGCAUAUGUUUCAUAUGUUGGCUGUGAAGUGCGUAAAUGAAUGUUGCUCUGAAAUUUUAAUUCAAUAUGCAGGUCUAUUAUGAGAUGCAAAGCUUUGUGCAAAUGAAUGAUGUAUGCCUAUGUUUAUUUGAAUGUUUACUUUCAAUUUCAUUCACGUGACUAGUUAAGUAAUAAAAAAAUUGAGGAGUGUUUCAUCUGACUAUCAUUAGCCGGGGAGAGUUCCUAAAGAAAACAUUUAUACCCCUAACUUCUUCUUUUAGAAAGGAGGCGCUUGCUCGGCCUUAAAUUGAGGCCCUUAGAGCAUCUACAACAGGCGCCGAACGCGCCGCGCGCAAAAAACAGCUUUAGCGCACGCCUAUCGUCUGGUUUGGCGCGGCGCGCAGCGCUGGCUCCAGCAGCCGCGCUAAAAUGCAGCGCGCGCGCCGAUCCAGCAGCGUGCAAAAAUGCAGCGCGCGCGACUCGCCGGUGCAUUUCAUAUGGCAUUUUCAACACAAAAUGAAGUUGAUGAACAUUUUCAACACAAUAAAAUUUCACACAAACAAGUUGAUGAAGAAAAGUUCAUGCCCACAAGUUCAAAAUCAUGACCACAAGUUCAUCCAACCAAGUUCAAAAUGCAAAUCAAGUUCAAUACACAAAUGAAAGACACAUCAUUCCUCGUCCUCGUCCUCGUCUUCGUCCUCAUCCUCAUCUUCGGAAGACGAUUCUUCUGCCUCCGAAGAUGAAUCUUCCUCCCUCUCUUCAUCGCGCACCGCAUCACGUGAAGCUCCGACGGUGUUGGCAAGAUCUUCAACGGCAUCUCCAUGGGAAUGUGUGUGAGGAGGCACAUCGAAAGACAUUCCGCCCAUGGCGGCCGGAGGUGCAUCCAUGCCUCCCAUGAGAGAAGCAAAACUCAUACCUUCCAUGGUGGCCAUACCGGGACCUAAGUGAUCGGUCGGAGCGGUCAAUUCCACUCACGUUGCGAACAUCAAAGUGUUCCUUCAUCCGAAGCCAAUAAGCAUCUCUACUUUGAUCACCUCCAAUGGAUGGAUCCCUCGACACUUGCAACCAAGUAUUGCAUAGUAAGAUGCCAUUGGCGUUGCUGUAAUUGCCCGCUCUUCCUUUCGAUGCGUCGACAAUGCCCUCACCCUCCUCGUCCACCUCGAACUCAUGGUUUUUGAAAUGCAUGUCAUUGGUUUGAGACUAAUGUGAAUUGUUGGAGCCAACACCCAUCGUUGACAUGUAUGCAUCAUCAUUGAGACUACAAAGUUUUUUGAACAAUGCAAAUAAGCUAUGUAUAUGUGAAUGCAAUCAAAAAAUAACAAAAAAUGAAAAGUUGGAUUUUUUUACCUUGGAGGCAUUUCGUCGAACAUGUUGUGCGCGCCGGUCGCCGGCUCAACGAGUGAGCUCGCCGGCGCUUCGGUAGCCGCCGCGCCCGUCGUACGCCCCGCAAACUUCUUCCUCCUCGCCUUGGAGGUGCCGGAGCCGUCCGCCGCCUUGUUUUUCUUCGCCGAUGUCUUGCCCUUCUUUGGCCGCGCCGCAUUGGGGAGCUUUGAGAAGGAGGGGCGGCGGCUCGGGCCAGCGGCGGCGCGACGCCACCCGUCGCCGAGGUCAUCCGCGGCGGCAUGAAGAGGUCGCGCGCGAGGCCGAUGGUCGGAGGAGCUCUGGCGGAGGCGAGGCCAAUGCCACCCGGGCUAGGGUUUGCGGCGGCGGCGACGGGGGGUCGCGUGAAUAGGACGGGGUGAGCGGGGUUCCGGCACGUGCGUCCAUGGGGUGCGCGUGCCGGUGCCGGGGCGCGUGGGGCUUUGGAGGGGGAGAAGACAGAGCACAGCGCGAGCGCUCGAGUGUGCCGCGCGCGAAAGCGGGCGCCGCAAAUACACCGCGCGAGGUAGCGCUUCCUGCCGCGUGCCCAACUCCUUAUACCACGCGAGCGGUUAUUGCGCGCCCGCUGGAGCCAUCCGUCGGGUUACGCGCGCGCUAAACUGGGUAUAUUUACGGCGCGGCGCCUGUUUAGCGCGCCUGUUGGAGAUGCUCUUACAAAUCCACAAGUUCAAUGAUCCGAACAACAAAGUUAAAAGCAAAAGAUACAAGCCUACAGGCAGAAUCACAGCGGCGCAGCGCUGACAAGCCAACAACAAGAAGGAAAUGGGCUAUCGAGGUAGCGAGGGGCGGUGAUGAGACGGUGAUGUCCCCUACGGUGGUCGGCGCAUCUCAGUGCACCUUGCUCGCACCUUUGUUACGAGCUCCUGCACGCAUCCUCUGUCUUGUGGUUUUACUAGUAGCUUCCAAAGCUGCAAGAAAGACACCAUUUUGUAUAGAAGAUCAGCUGGAUGCUUGAUAAAAUGAACAUACAAAAUGAAGGUGGUUAUUCGUACGAAACUGCGUGUGGCAAGAAGGGUAUAGAAAGUGGGACGAAAUCACAUGUGUUGUCCAUGAUAUUGGAGGCGGUUUGCACAACCGCCGACUUCGUGCAGAGUAUUAACGAAUCAGGCUUUGAGGAGGAAAUGAAACUAGUGUUGUAAUAUAUUCCAAAAAUAUUUGGUUCCAGGAAACAUUUGAAUUAAUAGUAUAUGAGAAAAACAUAUUAUAUAUUUGUAUAGUUGAAAAAUAUUUGUCCAAUAUAGGUAGUAAAAUAAUAUAAUGGUUUUUUUCCAUGCAUGUUGGGUGGGCCUUCGAUGAGGUGGCAUAUGUGCAUGGCUUAUAUGUGUAUGUUGAAAUAAAUAGAAUUAAUGAGGGUCAAUCCAUAAUAAAAAAAUAAUUCUCAUGCAUAUUGUGCUGGAUCGUUGAUGAUGUGACAUGUGUGUAUGUUAAGAUAAUAGAAAUAACAAGGAUAAACUAUUUAGGUAUGUAGGAUAUGUUUUUAAUCUCAUUUUAUGGUACGUAUUGAUUAUGCAGAUUUGAUGAACGUUUUGGCAAAACCAUUAACUAUAGAAUGUUCUAGGCCAGAAAUAAAUAUGAUUUAAUGGGAUGAUAUAUUUAGCAUAUUUGAUGAGGCAGUUGAUGGAAUGAUAAUUAGGAACAAAAUAAAUGAAAUUAAAGUACGAUUGACUUUGAUUUCGUUGGGCAGCAUAUAUAAUACGUGGUCAGGGCCUCAAUCUACAUGCACUUCCCAGUUCCUCAUAUUCCUUGAUACAAUUUGUAAGCAGCAACAAUUAGCUAGCCAUGGCCAACCAGCAUCUGCUCCUCAUCGUCUUCAUAGCUUCCAUCCUCCAAGCGGCCACCUCCGACACAGCGUACGACCUUUUGGAGAAAAACAACUUUCCGCGGGCUCUCCUACCUCAGGGUGUGAAGUCGUACGUGAACCAUGGGGGCGCUGUUGAGGUGACCCUCCCCGCCUCGUGCGACUUCAACGUUACGGUUGCCGGUGGAUCACACAAGAUUCGGUUUGACAGCAUAGUCAGUGGGGUUAUCCGGCCCGGAUCCAUAACUCAACUAGGCGGCGUGAGGAUCCAGUUUGAGUGGGAUUUUCUUGCAUUCCACACGGUUCAACGCGUCGGUGACAAGCUCAGGUUUACUGGUAGUGAGCAUGCAGCCACAUUUGACCAGUCAUUUCCGGUUAGCAACUUCGUGCAGAGCCCCACGUGCAGCUAAGGGUGUGAUCGAUUAGGGAUGCAUGCACGCCUUUCAUAUAAUGUAAUAUCUAAUAUGAAUGUGUUUGUGUGAGUCCAUUGCUUUAUGUAGAGUGAAUAAACUGAUUAUGUAAUAAGUCAUGGUUCCAAGACCUAAUAUUAUUGCGAUGAUCAUAAUUUUCUUGCACAAUUAUUUAUUGCGAGAUGUUGCAGCGGUUCAUCCUAAUCAUAGGAACAAGAU
Molecule: long non-coding RNA, 6291 nt
Filed under: Triticum aestivum (bread wheat)
Lineage: Eukaryota; Viridiplantae; Streptophyta; Magnoliopsida; Poales; Poaceae
Description: long non-coding RNA (TAES_LNC001023)
Source: RNAcentral